RNAcentral lists this unclassified non-coding RNA (1608 nucleotides) under Hevea brasiliensis (rubber tree). Lineage: Eukaryota; Viridiplantae; Streptophyta; Magnoliopsida; Malpighiales; Euphorbiaceae. The record is from RNAcentral.
AAAUAAAAUAAAAUAAAAUAAAAACGCCACACACACAAAGCUACCCAACAGGAGCACCAAUGUUUGAUGGAAGCAACCAUCCAGCAUGGGCCGUAAGAAUAAGAGUUCAUAUCAAUGCACAAGACCUUUGGGGAGUAGUUGAGGAAGACUACGAAGUUCCUGAUCUGCCUGCUAGUCCAACUAUGAAUCAAAUUAAGAUUCAUCAAGGAAAGAAAACGAGAAAGGCCAAGCAAUAACUUGCCUUAUGUUGUUGUAUCUCCGCUCAUUUUCACCAGAAUCAUGAACUUGGAGUCUGCAAAGGCCAUCUAAGAUUACCUCCGACAUGAACACUGGGGAAAUGAAAGAGUGAAAACUAUGCAGGUGUUGAAUCUCAUUUGAAAUGCAAAAGAUGAAGGAGUCAAAAACAGUCAAAGAAUAUGUAGACAAGUUACUUAGCAUUGUCUAGGUAAGGACAUUUUUUAUGAAAAAAUUGUUCAUAAAUACUGGUUACCUUGCUAGACACCUGUGAAGUAUUACCUUGGCAGAAUUAAUUCAUGCUUUGCAAGCGCACGAAUGAACAAAGAAUGAGGGAAGAACGUGCGAUGGAGGGAGCCCUCCAAAUACAAGUACAUAACCAAGUAAAAGCAAAAGAAAUAAAAAUAACAAAAAAUAAAAAUUUUCACCUUAUUCCUUCUGCAAAAAGAACAAUCACCCACAAGAAAGAAGAAAGAUGUUGGUGGAGACCAAAUGCACAAUGUAAAAAAUGUGAACAGCUAGGACACAUAGAGAUCAGAUGCAAUGCACAACAAACAAGAGAAGCCUAAGUCAGUGCGGAUCAAAAUCAGGAGGAGGAGUGGAGGAGCUAUUAUAUUAGCUAUUCUGGUAGCUUAAACACUGAUAUAAAUACUAUGCCACCGAAUAGUAUAAAUAAGAGAGUAUGCCUUAGUAGCUGCAAAGCCUACCGAAGAUGCUAAUGUGGCUGUUGAAACAAUCAAAACAUGAAUCUAAAAAUUACCAUUUAAUCUGUUGUUCCUGUUACUAUUUUUUAGGAAUAAUCUUGCUAUGCUGAAAAAUAGGAAAUAUUGCUGAAUGUGCAGAUUUAUGCUUUCUUGUAUAAAUUCAAACUUCAAAUUAAUGAAACAAUAAGAUCAGACCAUUCAGUCUCCAAAAGCUUUGGUUGCUGUUUUUUUUCUUUUUUUUCCCCCUCUAGUUGCCUCUGAUUUCCAUUAAAAAAUCAACAACAUCAAAGGAUCUACCUUCUACUUACCCAGUUGCAUAUUCAUGGCAAGCCAUUUUGGUACUACUAAGAACACAGAUUUCUAUGGAGAAUGUGCAACAUACAAUUAUGCAUAUAGUAGACUUACAGGCCAUAUAAUGAUUGGUCUCAUGAUGGGCUCCUCAUACGACCAGAUUGAGUUCAAGGACAUAUAUGGUGUGACUUCACAUUCGCUUUACAUAAACAUGCAAGUUAUACUCAUAGGAGUGAUCUCAGACCCACAACAACGUUCCUCAGAAUGGCAAAGACAGGUUGGCUUAUUUCUGAGAGAAGGGCUGGGAUGUAUCUUCCAAUAUUUUAUUCAGUAUCAUGGGCAGUGGGUGAGAUAUUGAUGGAAAUCAACAAGAACAACA